GACGAACGCUGGCGGCGUGCCUAAUACAUGCAAGUCGAGCGAAGUUUUUCUGGUUCUUGGACUAGAAAAACUUAGCGGCGAGCGGGUGAGUAAUACGUAAAGAACCUGUCUCAUAGACUGGGACUACUAUUGGAAACGAUAGUUAAUACCGGAUAAUAGUACUUCACGCUUGAGAGAUGUUUAAUUGUUGGGUUUGCGAAGACUAUGAGAUGGCUUUGCGGUGUAUUAGCUAGUUGGUGGGGUAAAGGCCCACCAAGUCGACGAGGCAUAGGCGACCUCAGAGGGGGGUCGGCCACACUGGGACUGGACCACGGCCAAGACUCCUACGGGAGGCAGCAGUAGGGAAUCUUCCGCAAAGGGCGAAAGCCUGACGGAGCAACGCCGCGUGAGUGAAGACGGAUUUCGGUUCGUAAAGCUGUGUUGUUAGGGAAGAAUGGAUAUGUCGUAAGUAUACAUGUAAGAGACGGUACCUGGCAAGAAAGCCACGGCUAACUACGUG
RNAcentral lists this ribosomal RNA (499 nucleotides) under uncultured bacterium. Its description in RNAcentral is "partial 16S ribosomal RNA". It matches the Rfam family "Bacterial small subunit ribosomal RNA", at positions 28 to 507 of the family's 1533-position model. The record is from RNAcentral.